RNAcentral lists this ribosomal RNA (301 nucleotides) under uncultured bacterium. Its description in RNAcentral is "partial 16S ribosomal RNA". It matches the Rfam family "Bacterial small subunit ribosomal RNA", at positions 509 to 807 of the family's 1533-position model. The record is from RNAcentral.
CAGCAGCCGCGGGAAUACGUAGGGUGCGAGCGUUAAUCGGAAUUACUGGGCGUAAAGCGUGCGCAGGCGGUUUGUUAAGACAGAUGUGAAAUCCCCGGGCUCAACCUGGGAACUGCAUUUGUGACUGGCAAGCUAGAGUGUGGCAGAGGGGGGUGGAAUUCCGCGUGUAGCAGUGAAAUGCGUAGAUAUGCGGAGGAACACCGAUGGCGAAGGCAGCCCCCUGGGCCAACACUGACGCUCAUGCACGAAAGCGUGGGGAGCAAACAGGAUUAGAUACCCCCGUAGUCCCUGUCUCUUAUAC